This 464-nucleotide ribosomal RNA is filed under the name uncultured Klebsiella sp. RNAcentral describes it as "bacterial SSU rRNA". It matches the Rfam family "Bacterial small subunit ribosomal RNA", at positions 339 to 795 of the family's 1533-position model. Lineage: Bacteria; Pseudomonadati; Pseudomonadota; Gammaproteobacteria; Enterobacterales; Enterobacteriaceae. The record is from RNAcentral.
CUACGGGCGGCUGCAGUGGGGAAUCUUGCACAAUGGGCGCAAGCCUGAUGCAGCCAUGCCGCGUGUGUGAAGAAGGCCUUCGGGUUGUAAAGCACUUUCAGCGGGGAGGAAGGCGUUAAGGUUAAUAACCUUGUCGAUUGACGUUACCCGCAGAAGAAGCACCGGCUAACUCCGUGCCAGCAGCCGCGGUAAUACGGAGGGUGCAAGCGUUAAUCGGAAUUACUGGGCGUAAAGCGCACGCAGGCGGUCUGUCAAGUCGGAUGUGAAAUCCCCGGGCUCAACCUGGGAACUGCAUUCGAAACUGGCAGGCUAGUGUCUUGUAGAGGGGGGUAGAAUUCCAGGUGUAGCGGUGAAAUGCGUAGAGAUCUGGAGGAAUACCGGUGGCGAAGGCGGCCCCCUGGACAAAGACUGACGCUCAGGUGCGAGAGCGUGGGGAGCAAACAGGAUUAGAUACCCGGGUAGUC